Molecule: transfer RNA, 74 nt
Filed under: Caudoviricetes sp.
Lineage: Duplodnaviria; Heunggongvirae; Uroviricota; Caudoviricetes
Description: tRNA-Lys
Rfam family: tRNA
About the family: Transfer RNA (tRNA) molecules are approximately 80 nucleotides in length. Their secondary structure includes four short double-helical elements and three loops (D, anti-codon, and T loops). Further hydrogen bonds mediate the characteristic L-shaped molecular structure. tRNAs have two regions of fundamental functional importance: the anti-codon, which is responsible for specific mRNA codon recognition, and the 3' end, to which the tRNAs corresponding amino acid is attached (by aminoacyl-tRNA synthetases). tRNAs cope with the degeneracy of the genetic code in two manners: having more than one tRNA (with a specific anti-codon) for a particular amino acid; and 'wobble' base-pairing, i.e. permitting non-standard base-pairing at the 3rd anti-codon position.
Source: RNAcentral
CACUCCGUAGCUCAGCUGGUUAGAGCACCAAACUUUUAAUUUGGGGGUCCUGGGUUCAAAUCCCAGCGGAGUGA